This 465-nucleotide ribosomal RNA is filed under the name Triticum aestivum (bread wheat). RNAcentral's name for it is "partial small subunit ribosomal RNA". The record is from RNAcentral. Lineage: Eukaryota; Viridiplantae; Streptophyta; Magnoliopsida; Poales; Poaceae.
AUGCAUGUAUGUCGCGUCCCACCGCUGGCGGACGGACGCGCUACGUUUGACCGCCAAAUGCACCGGAGACCGGACGCAGAAAAUAUAUCCUCGUCGCAGCGACGCGAUGCCCCGGCCUUGGAGCUGGAGGUCGAGCACGGCAUGCGAAACACAAGCCGGGCGCGUCGCCGUGUGGCGCUGCGGAUAGUCCGAUCGAGCCAGCCGCUACGUGCCGAAAACGACGGGCCGAUGGAUCCAUCGCAACAAGCGCGGGCGGGCACGGAAAUCUCCCACGCCAUCCACGUAGGAGUAACGACAUGGUUUUCAAUAAUGUUUGUUGGCCUGGUAUGCAGGCUAUAUGGAGGAGAACAGCUACAAAUCUAUCUAUUUGGGGGAGUGGGCAGUGGAAAAGCUGGAGGAGAAAGCAAGAAGCCCACCUCUGUUGCUAUGGCCGAAUCCUGGCUGAGGCGCGAAAGCCCCCGUUAA